CCUACCAUGCAAGUCGAACGGUCUCUUCGGAGAUAGUGGCGGACGGGUGAGUAACGCGUGAGCAAUCUGCCUUCAGGAUGGGGACAACAGAGGGAAACUUCUGCUAAAACCCAAUGUGCCGCAAGGUGAAAUAUUUAUAGCCUGGAGAGGAGCUCGCGUCCGAUUAGUUAGUUGGUGGGGUAAAGGCCUACCAAGGCAGCGAUCGGCAGCUGGUCUGAGAGGAUGAGCAGCCACACUGGGACUGAGACACGGCCCAGACUCCUACGGGAGGCAGCAGUGGGGAAUUUUCCGCAAUGGGCGAAAGCCUGACGGAGCAAUACCGCGUGAGGGAGGAAGGUUUUUGGAUUGUAAACCUCUUUUUUAAAGGAAGUAGAAAGUGACGGUACUUUAAGAAUAAGCAUCGGCUAACUCCGUGCCAGCAGCCGCGGUAAUACGGAGGAUGCAAGCGUUAUCCGGAAUCAUUGGGCGUAAAGCGUCCGCAGGUGGUUCAUCAAGUCUGCUGUUAAAGACAGAAGCUCAACUUCUGAUAGGCAGUGGAAACUGGUGAACUAGAGUAUGGUAGGGGUUGAGGGAAUUCCCAGUGUAGCGGUGAAAUGCGUAGAUAUUGGGAAGAACACCAGUGGCGAAGGCGCUCAACUGGGCCAUAACUGACACUCAGGGACGAAAGCUAGGGUAGCGAAAGGGAUUAGAUACCCCUGUAGUCUUAGCUGUAAACGAUGAACACUAGGCGUUGCUUGUAUCGACCCGAGCAGUGCCGUAGCCAACGCGUUAAGUGUUCCGCCUGGGGAGUACGCACGCAAGUGUGAAACUC
This 811-nucleotide ribosomal RNA is filed under the name uncultured bacterium. RNAcentral describes it as "bacterial SSU rRNA". It matches the Rfam family "Bacterial small subunit ribosomal RNA", at positions 47 to 902 of the family's 1533-position model. The record is from RNAcentral.